Molecule: non-coding RNA, 124 nt
Organism: Hordeum vulgare subsp. vulgare (domesticated barley)
Lineage: Eukaryota; Viridiplantae; Streptophyta; Magnoliopsida; Poales; Poaceae
Source: Rfam
AACGUACUCCCUCCGUCCGAAAAUACUUGUCCGAUGAAUAGAUGUAUCUAGAUGUAUUUUAGUUCUAGAUAUAUUCAUUUCUAUCAUUUUUGUGACAAGUAAUUCCAAAUGGAGGGAGUAUAUA